Molecule: transfer RNA, 137 nt
Filed under: Candidatus Woesearchaeota archaeon CG10_big_fil_rev_8_21_14_0_10_32_24
Lineage: Archaea; Nanobdellati; Candidatus Woesearchaeota
Description: tRNA-OTHER
Rfam family: tRNA
About the family: Transfer RNA (tRNA) molecules are approximately 80 nucleotides in length. Their secondary structure includes four short double-helical elements and three loops (D, anti-codon, and T loops).
Source: RNAcentral
GGGCCUGUAGCUCAGUCUGGUUAGAGCGCUGUUUCAUCAUGAAGCGUAAGUCUUAUAUGACUGCUCUUGAUUCAAGUAUUUACAUCAAGGGUAGCUAAGCCAGCCAGAGGUCGGGGGUUCAAAUCUCCUCAGGCCCA